RNAcentral lists this unclassified non-coding RNA (243 nucleotides) under Hevea brasiliensis (rubber tree). Lineage: Eukaryota; Viridiplantae; Streptophyta; Magnoliopsida; Malpighiales; Euphorbiaceae. The record is from RNAcentral.
GAGUUCUGUAUCGCACUCUAUUUGUUGGAGCGGCAUAGGGAAGGGCACAUUCUUCCUGCUAUGCUUCCUAGCAACAUCAUGUUUGAUUUUUCCAGCAACGGUCAUCCUGUGACUCCAGCUGCAUCUAACUAUGGCAAUGUAGCUUGGAGACCCGCAGCUGGUUACCAGCAGCACCAAGGGGUUCCUGGGUCUGGUAAUCUGCAGGGAGCUCCUACAGUUGGAGUACGUCCACCUAUACCUGCU